This 240-nucleotide ribosomal RNA is filed under the name uncultured Lactobacillus sp. RNAcentral describes it as "partial 16S ribosomal RNA". It matches the Rfam family "Bacterial small subunit ribosomal RNA", at positions 122 to 355 of the family's 1533-position model. The record is from RNAcentral. Lineage: Bacteria; Bacillati; Bacillota; Bacilli; Lactobacillales; Lactobacillaceae.
UAACCUGCCCAAGAGAUCGGGAUAACACCUGGAAACAGAUGCUAAUACCGGAUAACAACAGAUGAUGCCUAUCAACUGUUUAAAAGAUGGUUCUGCUAUCACUCUUGGAUGGACCUGCGGUGCAUUAGCUAGUUGGUAGGGUAACGGCCUACCAAGGCGAUGAUGCAUAGCCGAGUUGAGAGACUGAUCGGCCACAUCGGGACUGAGACACGGCCCAAACUCCUACGGGAGGCAGCAGCC